This 453-nucleotide ribosomal RNA is filed under the name uncultured bacterium. RNAcentral describes it as "bacterial SSU rRNA". It matches the Rfam family "Bacterial small subunit ribosomal RNA", at positions 29 to 507 of the family's 1533-position model. The record is from RNAcentral.
AAUGAACGCUGGCGGCAGGCCUAACACAUGCAAGUCGAACGGAUCCUUCGGGAUUAGUGGCGGACGGGUGAGUAACGCGUGGGAACAUACCCUUUGGUACGGAAUAGCCUCGGGAAAUUGGGAGUAAUACCGUAUGUGGUCGAGAGACGAAAGAUUUAUCGCCAAAGGAUUGGCCCGCGUUGGAUUAGCUAGAUGGUGAGGUAACGGCUCACCAUGGCGACGAUAGGUAGGGGGCCUGAGAGGGUGGUCCCCCACACUGGUACUGAGACACGGACCAGACUCCUACGGGAGGCAGCAGUGAGGAAUAUUGGUCAAUGGGCGCAAGCCUGAACCAGCCAUGCCGCGUGCAGGAAGAAUGCCCUAUGGGUUGUAAACUGCUUUUAUUUGGGAAUAAACCUCUUUACGAGUAGAGAGCUGAAGGUACCAAAUGAAUAAGCACCGGCUAACUCCGUG